This 119-nucleotide ribosomal RNA is filed under the name Musa acuminata subsp. malaccensis (wild Malaysian banana). Lineage: Eukaryota; Viridiplantae; Streptophyta; Magnoliopsida; Zingiberales; Musaceae. The record is from RNAcentral.
GGGUGUGAUCAUAUCAGCACUAAAGCACUGAAUCCUAUCAGAACUCCAAAGUUUAGCAUGCUUGGGCGAGAGUAGUACUAGGAUAAGUGACCUCCUAGGAAUUCCUUGUGUUACACUCC